GAUGAACGCUAGCUACACGGUUUAACACAUGCAAGUCGAGGGGCAGCAUUUUAGUUUGCUUGCAAACUAAAGAUGGCGACCGGCGCACGGGUGAGUAACACGUAUCCAACCUGCCGAUAACUCGGGGAUAGCCUUUCGAAAGAAAGAUUAAUAUCCGAUAGUAUAUUAAAACCGCAUGGUUUUACUAUUAAAGAAUUUCGGUUAUCGAUGGGGAUGCGUUCCAUUAGUUUGUUGGCGGGGUAACGGCCCACCAAGACUACGAUGGAUAGGGGUUCUGAGAGGAAGGUCCCCCACAUUGGAACUGAGACACGGUCCAAACUCCUACGGGAGGCAGCAGUGAGGAAUAUUGGUCAAUGGACGAGAGUCUGAACCAGCCAAGUAGCGUGAAGGAUGACUGCCCUAUGGGUUGUAAACUUCUUUUAUAUGGGAAUAAAGUAUUCCACGUGUGGAAUUUUGUAUGUACCAUAUGAAUAAGGAUCGGCUAACUCCGUGCCAGCAGCCGCGGUAAUACGGAGGAUCCGAGCGUUAUCCGGAUUUAUUGGGUUUAAAGGGAGCGUAGGUGGAUUGUUAAGUCAGUUGUGAAAGUUUGCGGCUCAACCGUAAAAUUGCAGUUGAAACUGGCAGNCUUGAGUACAGUAGAGGUGGGCGGAAUUCGUGGUGUAGCGGUGAAAUGCUUAGAUAUCACGAAGAACUCCGAUUGCGAAGGCAGCUCACUAGACUGCAACUGACACUGAUGCUCGAAAGUGUGGGUAUCAAACAGG
RNAcentral lists this ribosomal RNA (761 nucleotides) under uncultured bacterium. RNAcentral's name for it is "bacterial SSU rRNA". It matches the Rfam family "Bacterial small subunit ribosomal RNA", at positions 28 to 776 of the family's 1533-position model. The record is from RNAcentral.